AUACGGUGGCGGGGCGCUUUUGCGCUCUGAGGAAAGUCCGGGCUUCACAGGGGCAUGGUAACUGCUAACGGCAGCCGGGGGCGACCCUAGGGAUAGUGCAACAGAAAUAGACCGCCCCGCCUUCGGGCGGAGCAAGGAUGGAAAGGCGAGGUAAGAGCUCACCAGCGCACUGGCGACUUUGCGGCUAUGUAAACCCUACCAGAAGCAACACCCGUAUGGGACAUAUGCGCUGCCCCGCGCGUCCCGGAGGUGGCACGAGCGAUGCGGCAACGCACCGCCUAGACAGAUCACCGUUUAAUACAGAACCCGGCUUACGGUCCGGUC
RNAcentral lists this RNase P RNA (324 nucleotides) under uncultured Gemmiger sp. Its description in RNAcentral is "Bacterial RNase P class A". It matches the Rfam family "Bacterial RNase P class A". From Rfam's summary of the family: Ribonuclease P (RNase P) is a ubiquitous endoribonuclease, found in archaea, bacteria and eukarya as well as chloroplasts and mitochondria. Its best characterised activity is the generation of mature 5'-ends of tRNAs by cleaving the 5'-leader elements of precursor-tRNAs. Lineage: Bacteria; Bacillati; Bacillota; Clostridia; Eubacteriales; Oscillospiraceae. The record is from RNAcentral.